GAGACAGUCACAGAACGGCGGAGCCACUGUCAGUGAUCCUGAGUGGUGCCUCCUGCACGGAUGGAGAAGUUGACCUGAGAUCUAGUGCAGAUAAAGAACAGCAUAAAACGUGGCCUCCUGGGAGCCUGACUAAAUGUGGUGAGAGGGCGGAGCGUACCGGAGACACUUGCACCAUCCGUCUCUGCAAGGACAAGUGAUAGGCUGAGUGAUCCAUUUCCUUCAGGAAUGAAGUGUCUGCUGUGCCCAGAGACCUUCCCAUUGCACCCAAUUCAUUCAACGUCCACAGACUGGAAUCUCUGUACGCACCACGUGACUGGUCCACCCUGCAAUGAGCAAUGCACACUGACCACCUGUGUGUACACCAAGAGGCUGUCACGUCCAGCGACUCCUCCCCAGGCACCAGAACCUACAGUCAGCCUCUCCAUGAGUGUGGAGAGAAGCUACAGCAGCCACCGAGUGACCUAUCAGGGCCCCAGGAUUCACCACUCCAGCCAGUGGCCUCUGCCUGCACCUUCCACGUGUAUCUGGCUUGGCUCGUUUAUACAUCCAGGAUGUGGGUGAGCACCUUUUCCUGCUCCUCCAUCAUGAAAAUGUCUCAAAUUCAGGAACUAGCCAGUGGGAGGAGUCACUCCCAAAAUUCUGAGACCAAGUCAUUGCUCCAUAGAUGGGCAGCUGCUUGGAAAUCGGCUAUUCCAUGUGUCACUCACCAGUGUGGUCUUAUUAAUAUUCUGCAGUUAUUACACUCCUUUUAAAAUGGCUAUAGCCCAUUUAACUCAAAAGAUCCCAACAUGCCUGACAAGCCACCUGGAGCAGCAGUGAGUAAAACUUUAACACUGGGGGCUGAAAUAGCAACUUGUCAGGAGUCAGAGAGUCACAAUUCUGGAAUAUAUUUACAUAUAUUUGCAUGA
Long non-coding RNA from Gopherus flavomarginatus (Mexican gopher tortoise), 908 nucleotides. RefSeq lists it as uncharacterized. The record is from RefSeq and is a predicted model, not a curated record. Lineage: Eukaryota; Metazoa; Chordata; Testudines; Testudinidae. The transcript is spliced from 2 exons.